GGGUUGUGAGGUUAAGCGACUAAGCGUACACGGUGGAUGCCCUGGCAGUCAGAGGCGAUGAAGGACGUGCUAAUCUGCGAUAAGCGUCGGUAAGGUGAUAUGAACCGUUAUAACCGGCGAUUUCCGAAUGGGGAAACCCAGUGUGAUCCGUCACACUAUCAUUAACUGAAUCCAUAGGUUAAUGAGGCGAACCGGGGGAACUGAAACAUCUAAGUACCCCGAGGAAAAGAAAUCAACCGAGAUUCCCCCAGUAGCGGCGAGCGAACGGGGAGCAGCCCAGAGCCUGAAUCAGUAUGUGUGUUAGUGGAAGCGUCUGGAAAGGCGUGCGAUACAGGGUGACAGCCCCGUACACAAAAAUGCACAUGCUGUGAGCUCGAUGAGUAGGGCGGGACACGUGGUAUCCUGUCUGAAUAUGGGGGGACCAUCCUCCAAGGCUAAAUACUCCUGACUGACCGAUAGUGAACCAGUACCGUGAGGGAAAGGCGAAAAGAACCCCGGCGAGGGGAGUGAAAAAGAACCUGAAACCGUGUACGUACAAGCAGUGGGAGCCUCUUUAUGGGGUGACUGCGUACCUUUUGUAUAAUGGGUCAGCGACUUAUAUUCUGUAGCAAGGUUAACCGAAUAGGGGAGCCGAAGGGAAACCGAGUCUUAACUGGGCGUUAAGUUGCAGGGUAUAGACCCGAAACCCGGUGAUCUAGCCAUGGGCAGGUUGAAGGUUGGGUAACACUAACUGGAGGACCGAACCGACUAAUGUUGAAAAAUUAGCGGAUGACUUGUGGCUGGGGGUGAAAGGCCAAUCAAACCGGGAGAUAGCUGGUUCUCCCCGAAAGCUAUUUAGGUAGCGCCUCGUGAAUUCAUCUCCGGGGGUAGAGCACUGUUUCGGCAAGGGGGUCAUCCCGACUUACCAACCCGAUGCAAACUGCGAAUACCGGAGAAUGUUAUCACGGGAGACACACGGCGGGUGCUAACGUCCGUCGUGAAGAGGGAAACAACCCAGACCGCCAGCUAAGGUCCCAAAGUCAUGGUUAAGUGGGAAACGAUGUGGGAAGGCCCAGACAGCCAGGAUGUUGGCUUAGAAGCAGCCAUCAUUUAAAGAAAGCGUAAUAGCUCACUGGUCGAGUCGGCCUGCGCGGAAGAUGUAACGGGGCUAAACCAUGCACCGAAGCUGCGGCAGCGACACUAUGUGUUGUUGGGUAGGGGAGCGUUCUGUAAGCCGUUGAAGGUGGCCUGUGAGGGUUGCUGGAGGUAUCAGAAGUGCGAAUGCUGACAUAAGUAACGAUAAAGCGGGUGAAAAGCCCGCUCGCCGGAAGACCAAGGGUUCCUGUCCAACGUUAAUCGGGGCAGGGUGAGUCGACCCCUAAGGCGAGGCCGAAAGGCGUAGUCGAUGGGAAACAGGUUAAUAUUCCUGUACUUGGUGUUACUGCGAAGGGGGGACGGAGAAGGCUAUGUUGGCCGGGCGACGGUUGUCCCGGUUUAAGCGUGUAGGCUGAUUUUCCAGGCAAAUCCGGAGAAUCAAGGCUGAGGCGUGAUGACGAGGCACUACGGUGCUGAAGCAACAAAUGCCCUGCUUCCAGGAAAAGCCUCUAAGCAUCAGGUAACAUCAAAUCGUACCCCAAACCGACACAGGUGGUCAGGUAGAGAAUACCAAGGCGCUUGAGAGAACUCGGGUGAAGGAACUAGGCAAAAUGGUGCCGUAACUUCGGGAGAAGGCACGCUGAUGGUAGGUGAAGCGACUUGCUCGUGGAGCUGAAAUCAGUCGAAGAUACCAGCUGGCUGCAACUGUUUAUUAAAAACACAGCACUGUGCAAACACGAAAGUGGACGUAUACGGUGUGACGCCUGCCCGGUGCCGGAAGGUUAAUUGAUGGGGUCAGCCGCAAGGCGAAGCUCUUGAUCGAAGCCCCGGUAAACGGCGGCCGUAACUAUAACGGUCCUAAGGUAGCGAAAUUCCUUGUCGGGUAAGUUCCGACCUGCACGAAUGGCGUAAUGAUGGCCAGGCUGUCUCCACCCGAGACUCAGUGAAAUUGAACUCGCUGUGAAGAUGCAGUGUACCCGCGGCAAGACGGAAAGACCCCGUGAACCUUUACUAUAGCUUGACACUGAACAUUGAGCCUUGAUGUGUAGGAUAGGUGGGAGGCUUUGAAGUGUGGACGCCAGUCUGCAUGGAGCCGACCUUGAAAUACCACCCUUUAAUGUUUGAUGUUCUAACGUGGACCCGUGAUCCGGGUUGCGGACAGUGUCUGGUGGGUAGUUUGACUGGGGCGGUCUCCUCCUAAAGAGUAACGGAGGAGCACGAAGGUUGGCUAAUCCUGGUCGGACAUCAGGAGGUUAGUGCAAUGGCAUAAGCCAGCUUGACUGCGAGCGUGACGGCGCGAGCAGGUGCGAAAGCAGGUCAUAGUGAUCCGGUGGUUCUGAAUGGAAGGGCCAUCGCUCAACGGAUAAAAGGUACUCCGGGGAUAACAGGCUGAUACCGCCCAAGAGUUCAUAUCGACGGCGGUGUUUGGCACCUCGAUGUCGGCUCAUCACAUCCUGGGGCUGAAGUAGGUCCCAAGGGUAUGGCUGUUCGCCAUUUAAAGUGGUACGCGAGCUGGGUUUAGAACGUCGUGAGACAGUUCGGUCCCUAUCUGCCGUGGGCGCUGGAGAACUGAGGGGGGCUGCUCCUAGUACGAGAGGACCGGAGUGGACGCAUCACUGGUGUUCGGGUUGUCAUGCCAAUGGCACUGCCCGGUAGCUAAAUGCGGAAGAGAUAAGUGCUGAAAGCAUCUAAGCACGAAACUUGCCCCGAGAUGAGUUCUCCCUGAGACUUUAAGUCUCCUGAAGGAACGUUGAAGACGACGACGUUGAUAGGCCGGGUGUGUAAGCGCAGCGAUGCGUUGAGCUAACCGGUACUAAUGAACCGUGAGGCUUAACCUUACAACGCCGAAG
Molecule: ribosomal RNA, 2924 nt
Filed under: Escherichia marmotae
Lineage: Bacteria; Pseudomonadati; Pseudomonadota; Gammaproteobacteria; Enterobacterales; Enterobacteriaceae
Description: 23S ribosomal RNA
Rfam family: Bacterial large subunit ribosomal RNA
Source: RNAcentral